RNAcentral lists this ribosomal RNA (497 nucleotides) under uncultured bacterium. RNAcentral's name for it is "partial 16S ribosomal RNA". It matches the Rfam family "Bacterial small subunit ribosomal RNA", at positions 28 to 507 of the family's 1533-position model. The record is from RNAcentral.
GAUGAACGCUGGCGGCGUGCCUAAUACAUGCAAGUCGAGCGAACAGACGAGAAGCUUGCUUCUCUGAUGUUAGCGGCGGACGGGUGAGUAACACGUGGAUAACCUACCUAUAAGACUGGGAUAACUUCGGGAAACCGGAGCUAAUACCGGAUAAUAUUUUGAACCGCAUGGUUCAAAAGUGAAAGACGGUCUUGCUGUCACUUAUAGAUGGAUCCGCGCUGCAUUAGCUAGUUGGUAAGGUAACGGCUUACCAAGGCAACGAUGCAUAGCCGACCUGAGAGGGUGAUCGGCCACACUGGAACUGAGACACGGUCCAGACUCCUACGGGAGGCAGCAGUAGGGAAUCUUCCGCAAUGGGCGAAAGCCUGACGGAGCAAUGCCGCGUGAGUGAUGAAGGUCUUCGGAUCGUAAAACUCUGUUAUUAGGGAAGAACAUAUGUGUAAGUAACUGUGCACAUCUUGACGGUACCUAAUCAGAAAGCCACGGCUAACUACGUG